This 1273-nucleotide unclassified non-coding RNA is filed under the name Hevea brasiliensis (rubber tree). The record is from RNAcentral. Lineage: Eukaryota; Viridiplantae; Streptophyta; Magnoliopsida; Malpighiales; Euphorbiaceae.
CAUUUUGAAUCUUCUCAUCCUUCAGGAAACAAACAGAAGUUUUCAUUAAAUUGGAUAUUGGAAAACACGAUAGAGAAGAAGAAAGAGAAAAGGAGAGGCGAUGAAGAGUAGAAAAACUUGAUCAUUCCCUCAAGCUUGAUUGGGUUUUAUACAGCUACAGAAAUCCAAAACAGGAAGAAUUCUAACUAGGGAAAAAUAAAGAUUCUAGGCUAUUUUACAGCAACCUAAUUAUAAUCUAAAUAUAUAUACACUUAUGCAGUAAAUAAAGGUCAACUCUCUACAUAUUUCAACAAAUAUAAAGAAACAUGGAAGAUAACACAUACCGGAUGAGUUGUAACCACAGUAGUUAUACAGCCAUUAAUCAUAUUGAAAAGGGAUAUUUCUCAUUAAGAAUCAGUUAAAAUUAACAACAAUACAAAUUAACAGUCAUUUACACUUCAAUCAUUGGUCAACUGCGCAAAACAGUUAACAGCAAUACAAAUGUAUACAUUCAGCAUAAUUUUCUAUCAUCAAUUUACUUUUGCAUGGUCACACAUGACACAUCAGUACUAAGUAUUUUAUUUCAAAAACUGCAUGAAAAUUACUUGAGCUUGAGUUCUGCACUUCCCCCUUUUCUUAGCAAUCUCAUGAUGGAUCAAUAUUGUCAGAUUACAGAAAAGCUCUAAUUGCAUAAAAAUUCUAGCCCACACAUCAUGAAAACCUUCUAAGAAAGCUAAUAGUUCCUGCUACAUGCUCUCUACUUAUUUGAUUGAGAUAAGUUCCCACUAUAUUUACGUCAUGUUUAUCACCCAAAUGAGUGGAGAAAACAGAAUAAUACAUAACAAAAAUGAAUUUAAGCAAACCCUCCUAAUCCACCUAAAUAUCAUGACCUUUGACACAUGGAAAUUUGUGUACUCAAAACUCAAAGCAAAGAAAUGCUUAGCUUAAUAAUUAAGCUCUUUCCUCAACCAAGCAAACCAUCAAUUUUGGAGAUCAUACGCAAAACAAAAGUAUAACUAACAGAACCAAAACUUACAGUCCCAAACCAAUGUAUUUGCCGAGGACAAACCAUUACUCAAUCUAAUUACAUUUGGUUGUUAAUUAAAUUUAAAAUUAGUAUGAUGUGAACCGAAGAAACUCCAAAAUUAAGUAAAACAAUGAUUGUAGCCACAGUUAUGUCUUCAUUAAAGUUAGAAAAUUAAGCAGAAUUACCAUUGAAAAACCGAAAAUGUUAUUGAAACAACAACAUUAAAAUGAACCCUUACAAUGUAAGAGAGAGCAAUCUCAGGGUCUA